ACUCAAAUGAAUUGACGGGGGCCCGCACAAGCAGCGGAGCAUGUGGUUUAAUUCGAAGCAACGCGAAGAACCUUACCUAGACUUGACAUCUCCUGAAUACUCUAGAGAUAGAGGAAGCCCUUCGGGGCAGGAAGACAGGUGGUGCAUGGUUGUCGUCAGCUCGUGUCGUGAGAUGUUGGGUUAAGUCCCGCAACGAGCGCAACCCUUAUCAUUAGUUGCUACCAUUAAGUUGAGCACUCUAGUGAGACUGCCAGAGUUAAUCUGGAGGAAGGUGGGGAUGACGUCAAAUCAUCAUGCCCCUUAUGUCUAGGGCUACACACGUGCUACAAUGGGCAGUACAAUGAGAUGCAAACUCGUGAGAGUGAGCAAAACUAUAAAACUGCUCCCAGUUCGGAUUGUAGGCUGCAACUCGCCUACAUGAAGCCGGAGUUGCUAGUAAUCGCGAAUCAGAAUGUCGCGGUGAAUACGUUCCCGGGCCUUGUACACACCGCCCGU
This 495-nucleotide ribosomal RNA is filed under the name uncultured bacterium. Its description in RNAcentral is "partial 16S ribosomal RNA". It matches the Rfam family "Bacterial small subunit ribosomal RNA", at positions 899 to 1397 of the family's 1533-position model. The record is from RNAcentral.